UUCUCUGAAUUACUCAAAAUUUCCGCUACUGGUUCUCCAGAACUGGUCAGAACCUGAUGAAUACCACUUCUGCCUUACACCUUUUCUAUUUUCGGUUAUGUUUUAUUCUAACUUAGUACUUUUAUCCUGCUCCUAUAUACAUUUUUUUAAUCUUAAAAACUACCUGCUUUAACCCUCUGAAACACAGAGCAACGAAAUCAGAAAAGAGGAAUGGUUGUCAUCAGUGGAAGGAGGAAGAAAAAACAGGCCUUACAUUCUGCAACACAGGCUUCAUCCAAACCCCUGGAAAAGAUGACACUUGAUAGAUAUAUUGCAGCCAAGCAGAUUUGAUCCGUAUGUAAUAUAAGCCCUCUGCUUGAUACUUUAGAAUGGGAUCUCUAGCAAGAGAUUGAAAGCCAAUAAGGUCUCUCAUCAUCUCUAAGAGGACAUUCCCUCCCCACAGACUCAUGCCAUCUGUUCAGCAGCAGCAGCGGUAGCAUGGCUUACUUUAAGUGGACCUGAGAUUCUAGAUCUAAAAUAUUUAAAAAAUGGCAGUCUAGCAGAUUUUAUAGGCAGGCAUAGUGAAGGAAGAAAGCAGGACUCAGCUUCUGUCAACUGUCCCAACUUGAUCAAUUAGAAAAGAAAGACUCUUAGGCCCAUGGCUAGCCAAAGAAGAGGUGGUAUUCUGCCAGUUUGCACCAGUUCAGGUGAACUGGUAGUGGUGGUGGCGCAAAGCUCAGCCUACUCACCCAGACAUCACAGAGCAUCUGCGCAUGUGCAGAGGUUUCUGUGCAUGCCCAGGCUUGUGCACCCUCCCACUACCGAAUUGUUAGUGAAAAUAAGAGGAUGCCAUUAUUGAACUAAAGGUAUACUUUGCUAAAGCCAAGUGGUUAUAGACAAAAUGAAGUUGGAUCUGAGGUUUUCCUGUCCAAAGUAUAUGGUUAACUUUGCCAUGUCACCUUGCCCCCUCUGAUUAUUAAGAAGCAUCCAAUUUGGUGCUAACAAAUUGUUUUGGGGACAGUCCCUGUCUUUGCAGCUGGCAUUCCUUUCUUGACCUUGAAGUAGUUGGUUUUUCUCACGGGAUGGUGCAUCUCAAGGGAUGGUACGAGGUUUUGUUUCAUUUCCUCAUGAUAUCUCCUGGCAACCCUCUCACUCAUUCCACCGCAGUUUCCUCCCCCGACUUUUCUGUGGCAGGCUGCCAGUGGCAAACAGGUGCAGCGUACCUUAGCAGCAGCCCUGACAGCUUCUUUUAAAAAACUUGAUUGAAAUUUUUCUUCAGAAAUUUGGACUUAGUUUUCUAAAUUUCCCGUUUCCCCCUCCUACAAAAUACCUAACUCUAAUUCCAUAUAACAAAUUAUAUAGAGGAACUCUCUUAGGCAGAGCAAUUUUUCCUUCUUUUAACAUUCAUUACUUAAAACAGACCAUAUGCUACCCACUAACUUUCGAUCAGCCUACAUGCUUCUUCAAAUUCAUUCAUUUCCCUAUUUUUAGCAAUCAUUCUCUCCCAAAAUAUACACAUUUAAUUGCUUACUUAUUUUUUUCCCAUUUACACAUAACUGACACUUGUUCAUCCAUUGUCUCUGUAAAAUACAACCACAUUGGUUUUGACACAAUUAUGUUCAUUGAAUAAAACAGGUAGUCUUCAAGUUGCAACCAUAAUGGAGCCUGCCAAUUAGUCAUGUCAUAAUAGUUAUAAAAUGAGUUGUUCAUGUAACCAACACAAUUUUAUAAAUCUUUUUGCAGGGAAUGAGUGCAGUUAAAUGAACACAAGCCCCCAAGCGAACCCAUUGUUCACUAUGGCGUGGUUUAGCUGAAAACCAAGAGUGCUGAUUUUUUGGCAAAACUGUAGUAAAAUGUCAUCUUACUCUGGGAUGCAGCAAAUGGCAGUAAAAGGGCUGUGUUACCGGAGUGUAAUCAUGUGACCACGGAGGAGGUGACCAUUGAAAUUUAGGAUCCAGGUCAUAAAUCCCUUUUUCAGAAUUGACGGUUGGGAAAUAUAAUAAGUCAAACAACCAGCAACCAGCUGUUUCCUCCCACAAGUGAUGGUGUGCAGUUUUUUCCCAACGUACCAAGCAAGCAAUGUUUACAGAACAGAAUGAAAAUGUACUUUUUGAAGCCAUAUAUACGUUUAUUCCAUGUCAAAGCUGUUUAUUUGUUCUGGUCUUUGAAAUAAAUCUUGACGUAAUAUCUUUCAGUCUAAUUUUUAAUUAUUUUCAAAUUACAAUCCAUACCUCAACUGAAUGCUACAUAUGGUGGAGUACUUCAAACAUCUGUAAAAGACAAUUGUCUUUUGCUGUUGAAAUCAAUUGUUUCCUUAUAUUAUAUCCUAAAUUAUAGAGGCAAUUGUAUUAGCCGACAAGCUUUUUGCCUUCAGAAAUUUACCAAGAGAUAAAAUUCUGUUGGCUUUAUAUGAUUUAUCUAUGAUUUCAUUUAUCUCAGAAAUUAUUUUUAAUGAAUCCUCUCUAGAUAUGUUAGUAUUUUGGGUUGCAAGGUUUGGAACCUGUCACAGAAAUUUUUAUUCAUGUCAUUUUCUACUCAGGACUCAUGAUAUAUUGAUCUUAUGUACAUGAUGAAGAUGUUAUAUUCCAUGGGAACCAGAAAUAAGGCACCGAACUUUGCCUUUUAUUUCUAUGAAAAAAUAUGCAUACAUUUUCCUAUUUGUCUUGGAAAAACAUUUUUCCUUCCACAAUUCUUCUUAAUGUAAACAUACCGAAUCUGCUGAUGCCUUCAAAUAUCAGUGGUACAAUACAUAAGAAUGAAUUGCCCAAAUAAGCUUUAACAAUUGCUUCAUACAUGUUGGUGAAAUGUAUCAAAAAGAACUGCACAACCAUUAUUCUUUCUAUGUUGUACUCUUUUGUUAUUGCUAACAAAUAAAGCCUUUAUAUGUAUUAAAAACAAGUAGCACAAUUGCAUCAUUAGCAAUUCCCAUCCAUAGUUUAAUAUUUCUCCAUGUAGACAACAAAUAGUUCUUCAGAGCAGAGUGUGGCAAGCACCUUUACAGGUAUCCUCAUACUGAUCUGAGCCAUACUGAUCUAUCGCUAACUUAGUUCAUAAAUUUCAUAAAUUUCUUAAAUUAGGCUUUUAAUUGUACAAUAAAUGUACUUAAUCAGAAAUGAAUUGCAGAAUCAAUAUUUUGAGGAAGAGUGAAUGGCUCAAGAGGAAAGGAAGAUUAAUAAAAUUAUGAUUGGAUGGGGUUGAUGAGAGCGCGGGGCGGAAUUUAAAGAACAAAAUGCAAAGGCAUUGUGUGAAUUGGUGCCUAGAUAUGAUCGAAGCAAGGAUAAAAAGCUGUAGCGGGGA
Molecule: long non-coding RNA, 3276 nt
Organism: Thamnophis elegans (Western terrestrial garter snake)
Lineage: Eukaryota; Metazoa; Chordata; Lepidosauria; Squamata; Natricidae
Exons: 3
Source: RefSeq, a predicted model, not a curated record